UAACUGUGGUAGUACGAUAGGUUCCGCGUCUGAUUAGCUAAUUGGUGGGGUAAUGGCCUACCAAGGCAACGAUCAGUAGCCGGCCUGAGAGGGUGAACGGCCACAUUGGGACUGAGACACGGCCCAAACUCCUACGGAAGGCAGCAG
RNAcentral lists this ribosomal RNA (147 nucleotides) under uncultured bacterium. Its description in RNAcentral is "partial 16S ribosomal RNA". It matches the Rfam family "Bacterial small subunit ribosomal RNA", at positions 209 to 354 of the family's 1533-position model. The record is from RNAcentral.